Long non-coding RNA from Passer domesticus (house sparrow), 1093 nucleotides. RefSeq lists it as uncharacterized. The record is from RefSeq and is a predicted model, not a curated record. The transcript has 3 exons. Lineage: Eukaryota; Metazoa; Chordata; Aves; Passeriformes; Passeridae.
CACGUGCAUACAGGCUCAGUGACAAGGUACAGUCUUGCUUUUAUUUGCACUGAGGCUUCUCUGUAUGGAGAUGGGGAGCUACAGAGACAUCUGCACUCUUUGCUGUCAUGCUCCACCUGUGGGAAGGUGAAACUGGCAAGUCACUCUGCAGCUGUGGACUGAGACUUUCUUUUCCUUGGUGUCUGUGCUGGCCAUUGCAGCGAGCAAACUUGGAAAUGCCAAUCUCAUGCCACUGCCGCAGGACUCCAGCAGUGGUCUGUGCUUCCACUCAAAGAGAACAGGCACAGCAAUCAACCCACACCGGUAUUUUUUGUAUAACUUCUGGGAUCCUGAGUUAUAAAGAAAUCUUCUGUAACAGCUGUGAGGUAAUCCCUAUGCUGAUUGCCAGGAAUAGCCCACUGGUGUAAAUCCAUGAUGGGAUUUAAUGUGAUGAUGGAUAAACCUGGCUGUCUCUCAAAAAGUUCCUGCAAAACUCUCUCCAAACGGGAUAGGGAAGCCACCAGUCCUGACCAUGUCCCACUCAUUUGGAGUAUCACAGAAGAUAUGGUAUUUUCAGCCUUUCCUAUGUUGGGUGGCAUAGAGGAGAUAUUUUAAGGUUGCAGUAAGUUCUCAUCUACAUUCUAAACUGUGGUGUAAGGCCUACUUUGGGCUCCUGGCUGCCUCCAAAAUAAUGCUGCUGGCUAAAGCCAUGUAAACCAUUCCAAGUACAACAGCAGCAGCAACUACAGCUGGCUUUCCCCAUAACAAUUUUGUUGCUGAAUGAACACGUACUUUUUUACCCCCUGUGACUGAGUUGAAGAGGAAGACAACUUUUGCAUGUGGGGAGAUUGCUGUCGUAAUAAACACCUGAGCAAACUUUACUAUAUCCUGUCUUGGCUGUAACUCUGCACAUGUGCCAGAACUUACAAUGCCAAGAAUUCUAUUAAGUUUGUUCUUCCAUGUUCAGCCAGUCAAGAUACAUUCCCCAGUUCUCCCCCAAACCAUUUUAAUUUAAAUAAAUAUAAUGAAAUCUAAUCUCAAAUGAUGGGACCUCUGUUUUCUGGGAAGCAUGGCACUGAAAUCCUGAUGGGGAGAGAUACCUUCUCUGGGUAAU